CUGUAGUAAUUAAAGUAGUAGUUCUGCAGAAGUAGGAGUAGUUGUUACUUUCAAAGCAAUUUCUACAAGUUUAAAUUCCUUAACCCUGUCCAUGUGGUAUACACACUGUUUUCUCUCAAUAUCAAACUCAGCCAGUCCAGGUUGUCAAAUAACAAUCUAUCUGAUAAGCCCAGCUUGUGCAGUGAGUCAGAUGUUGGGUAUGUUUGCUGCAAAUCUAUUGGUUAUAAGAUAUAACAGCCUUUUCUAAUUGGCUUAAUUCAAAUACAGAAAGUUUACCUGUUAGAUUGAAACAUGAAACAUGGUGGAAAAUGUACUGGUUUAACUUGUUAAAAUAAAGUUAAAGAAAUUUAACAAACAGAAGAGUUCAUUAGUUUUUCCAUUAAAAACACUUUUUUAAAAUACUUAUGUAUUUAUAUCAUUUGGAAAGUGACAUGAAAUAUUGUUAAAGAGUGAUGCAUACAGUGUUUGAGCAGUCUGUCUAGGAAUAGAACAACAACUGAAGUUGAUGGAAGAUACUGCAGAGUUUGGCAGGGAAAUAAUCCAACAGCAAAGCCGCUCUUUAAGCGCAUUCACCUAGAGGACUUACAGGGCCACACAUUCAUGAGCACAUGUGAGCAGUAUACAAUGUACCUCAUACCAAAAAGAACCCGGAGGCAGUGACUGGUGUUCAAUAUUCUCAGAAGAAAAGGAAAAUGGCAGUGGAAGACUUGGACAAACAUUUUUAAAAACAAGCCUCUGUGUUAAGCCUGGCAGUCUGUGGCUGGUGACAUGUUUUAUUUGGGUUACUUCUUGUAUAAAAAAGACCAGUUAUUUAUUUUGUGAAUUAUAUUUUGUGUUUGUUUUUUGUCUUAAUUUAUUAUAUUUUUUUUAAUUUAGGAAUUUGAAACUUGGAUAAUUGAAUAAAGUCCGUGUUCAACAGUACUGAGCAUAGUAUAAUAAAUAACAAAUUUACAACAGUUGUUAAUUUGUUAUGUAUUAUUAUUAACUAUGCUCAGUACUUGAAUACUGGCUGUCUGCACGGGAAUUUGUUUUCUAGAAAGUUGGUUUCAGACUUAAAUAUUUGAAGUUAACCUUCGGAACUUUUCUAGAAUUGUACUGGAACACAUCAACUAAAACUGAACUUCUGUUAUCAUACUGAAAGUGUUCUAGAAUUAAUAAGGAACAGUUGUUGAACGUUAAAAUGUAUGAGAAAAAACUCGAGAACAAUUCUGCGUGAUGUGUGUGUGUGCAUGUAAUUGUGUGUGUUUAUGAACAUAUGUGAGAAAGGAUGUAUACUUGUCAUAAGAUAAAUGUAAAAUUCUACUUCUAUGUUUUAUAUUGUGCCUUUUAUAAGUUUUUCUUUUCUCACCUGUAUAUGCGUGCAUGUUUAUGGAUGUGUUUUUGAAUGUGUGUGUGCAUGCCUGUGGUUAAGAGAGUAGGUACUUUAUGAAAAUGUAAAACCACUCAUUUUUGAAUAUGUACUGUGACUGCACGUGUGUGGUUAAUGAUUGAUGCUAUAUCUUGUUCUUGUUUAACUUCUACGAUGAAACCUUUAGUUACAUUCACAUUUGUUUUUCAAAAUCAACGAAAUGCCUUUAAUCUAUAAUCUGUUUUUUUCUAUUUUAUUCCAGCUUUUUAUUAAAUUCCAUAGCUUUUCACGGAAUUCCACGGCAUUCUAUGGAAUUCCACGGCAUUCUAUGGAAUUCCACGGCGUUCUAUGGAAUUCCACGGCGUUCUAUGGAAUUCCACGGCAUUCUAUGGAAUUCCACGGCAUUCUAUGGAAUUCCACGGCAUUCUAUGGAAUUCCACGGCAUUCUAUGGAAUGCCACGGAAUUCUAUGGAAUUCCACGGCAUUUUAUGGAAUUCCAUCCCAUAUCAAGUCCCUCUUCUGUUUUUUUUUCACUUUUCCAUUGAUUGCAUGGAAUCGGAUGGAAAGUUAGUGCCAAUACUCCACGGAAUUCCAUCUAACGAUUUCCAUAGAAUUCCAUAUGAUUCCGCGGCAGAUCUACA
Long non-coding RNA from Dreissena polymorpha, 1989 nucleotides. RefSeq lists it as uncharacterized. The record is from RefSeq and is a predicted model, not a curated record. The transcript has 3 exons. Lineage: Eukaryota; Metazoa; Mollusca; Bivalvia; Myida; Dreissenidae.